RNAcentral lists this ribosomal RNA (497 nucleotides) under uncultured bacterium. RNAcentral's name for it is "partial 16S ribosomal RNA". It matches the Rfam family "Bacterial small subunit ribosomal RNA", at positions 28 to 507 of the family's 1533-position model. The record is from RNAcentral.
GAUGAACGCUGGCGGCGUGCCUAAUACAUGCAAGUCGAGCGAACGGACGAGAAGCUUGCUUCUCUGAUGUUAGCGGCGGACGGGUGAGUAACACGUGGAUAACCUACCUAUAAGACUGGGAUAACUUCGGGAAACCGGAGCUAAUACCGGAUAAUAUUUUGAACCGCAUGGUUCAAAAGUGAAAGACGGUCUUGCUGUCUCUUAUAGAUGGAUCCGCGCUGCAUUAGCUAGUUGGUGAGGUAACGGCUUACCAAGGCAACGAUGCAUAGCCGACCUGAGAGGGUGAUCGGCCACACUGGAACUGAGACGCGGUCCAGACUCCUGCGGGAGGCAGCAGUAGGGAAUCUUCCGCAAUGGGCGAAAGCCUGACGGAGCAACGCCGCGUGAGUGAUGAAAGUCUUCGGAUCGUAAAACUCUGUUAUUAGGGAAGAACAUAUGUGUAAGUAACUGUGCACAUCUUGACGGUACCUAAUCAGAAAGCCACGGCUAACUACGUG